UAGCUCAAUCGGUAGAGCGUGAGACUCUUAAUCUCAAGGUUGUGGGUUCGACCCGU
This is a transfer RNA of Colletotrichum orchidophilum, 56 nucleotides long. It matches the Rfam family "tRNA", at positions 8 to 63 of the family's 71-position model. From Rfam's summary of the family: Transfer RNA (tRNA) molecules are approximately 80 nucleotides in length. Their secondary structure includes four short double-helical elements and three loops (D, anti-codon, and T loops). NCBI's taxonomy places the organism in Eukaryota, Fungi, Ascomycota, Sordariomycetes, Glomerellales, Glomerellaceae. The record is from Rfam.